This 69-nucleotide transfer RNA is filed under the name Litiopa melanostoma. RNAcentral describes it as "tRNA-Leu". It matches the Rfam family "tRNA". Rfam says of the family: Transfer RNA (tRNA) molecules are approximately 80 nucleotides in length. Their secondary structure includes four short double-helical elements and three loops (D, anti-codon, and T loops). The record is from RNAcentral. Lineage: Eukaryota; Metazoa; Mollusca; Gastropoda; Litiopidae.
AUCAAAUUAGCAAAGUUAAUGCACCUGACUUAGGAUCAGCUAUCGGAGGUGAAACCCCUUCAUUUGAUA